AGAGGGAUAGCUGGGUCAAAUGGUGGUUCCAUUCCCAGAUUUCCAAGGAAACUCCAAACUGCUUUUCAUAUUGGCUGCACCAAUUUGCAGUCCCACCAGCAAU
Molecule: microRNA precursor, 103 nt
Filed under: Marmota monax (woodchuck)
Lineage: Eukaryota; Metazoa; Chordata; Mammalia; Rodentia; Sciuridae
Source: RNAcentral